CGGUUGCUAAGACUGGAUAGGAAAUAAAAAGGCAUCUUUUUAUUUUUAAAAGACCUUCUUCGGAGGGUAUGCUUAAAGAGGGGCUUGCGCCACAUUAGUUAGUUGGUGAGGUAAAGGCUCACCAAGAUUAUGAUGUGUAGCUGGACUGAGAGGUUGAACAGCCACAUUGGGACUGAGACACGGCCCAAACUCCUACGGGAGGCAGCAGUAGGGAAUUUUCGGCAAUGGAGGAAACUCUGACCGAGCGACGCCGCGUGAACGAUGAAGUAUUUCGGUAUGUAAAGUUCUUUUAUUGAAGAAGAAAAAAUAAUGGAAAAAUUAUCUUGACGUUAUUCAAUGAAUAAGCCCCGGCUAACUAUGUGCCAGCAGCCGCGGUAAGACAUAGGGGGCGAGCGUUAUCCGGAAUUAUUGGGCGUAAAGGGUGCGUAGGCGGUUAAAUAAGUCUAUAAUUUAAUUUCAGUGCUUAACGCUGUCUUGUUAUAGAAACUAUUUUGACUAGAGUGAGAUAGAGGCAAGCGGAAUUCCAUGUGUAGCGGUAAAAUGUGUAAAUAUAUGGAGGAACACCAGAAGCGUAGGCGGCUUGCUGGGUCUUUACUGACGCUGAGGCACGAAAGCGUGGGGAGCAAACAGGAUUAGAUACCCUGGUAGUCCACGCUGUAAACGAUGAGUACUAAGUGUCGGGGUAACUCGGUACUGAAGUUAACACAUUAAGUACUCCGCCUGAGUAGUACGUACGCAAGUAUGAAACUUAAAGGAAUUGACGGGACUCCGCACAAGCGGUGGAUCAUGUUGUUUAAUUCGAAGAUACACGAAAAACCUUACCAGGUCUUGACAUACUCUGCAAAGCUAUAGAAAUAUAGUGGAGGUUAUCAGGGAUACAGGUGGUGCAUGGUUGUCGUCAGUUCGUGUCGUGAGAUGUUAGGUUAAGUCCUAAAACGAACGCAACCCCUUUCGUUAGUUGCCAGCACGUAAUGGUGGGGACUUUAGCGAUACUGCCAAUUAAAAGUUGGAGGAAGGUGGGGAUAACGUCAAAUCAUCAUGCCCCUUAUGAUCUGGGCUACAAACGUGAUACAAUGGCCGUUACAAAGAGUAGCUGAAACGCGAGUUCUUAGCCAAUCUCAAAAAGACGGUCUCAGUCCGGAUUGAAGUCUGCAACUCGACUUCAUGAAGCUGGAAUCGCUAGUAAUCGCGAAUCAGCAUGUCGCGGUGAAUACGUUCUCGGGGUUUGUACACACCGCCCGUCA
This 1244-nucleotide ribosomal RNA is filed under the name Jujube witches'-broom phytoplasma. RNAcentral describes it as "bacterial SSU rRNA". It matches the Rfam family "Bacterial small subunit ribosomal RNA", at positions 157 to 1399 of the family's 1533-position model. The record is from RNAcentral. Lineage: Bacteria; Bacillati; Mycoplasmatota; Mollicutes; Acholeplasmatales; Acholeplasmataceae.